This 490-nucleotide long non-coding RNA is filed under the name Bombyx mandarina (wild silkworm). RNAcentral's name for it is "uncharacterized LOC114245692". Lineage: Eukaryota; Metazoa; Arthropoda; Insecta; Lepidoptera; Bombycidae. The record is from RNAcentral.
GUCUAUGUCCAACCAUAGACAGUCAAUUUAGUUCCAUCUUUAGCCGCUAGGUGCUGCCAGCAAGUAUAAAGGGAGCGCAGCCAUCUUUGAUCUUCAUAGUCUUCACCAGGAAGAACUUCCUGCAAUGCUGUAUGUUUUCCUUCUCGGCACAUAAUAUCGGUUUUAUUGUUAUGUAAAACCGUAAUAUUGAUGUGCCUUUGGAAAACAUACAGCAUUGUAUUAUGAAGACGUGUUUGUUAUCUGCUGGUGAAAUUAUUAAGCACAACGCUAUGAUGAAAUAGAAAGUCGACAGCGCUGCUUUAUGAUGCAGAAGGAUUGUUUUAUAGGCAAAAUUUUCUUUUUGGAAAAGAAGAAAGAAUUUGGCAACAUCUGCAGACUUAGGAUCAAUUUUAAAACUGUAGCACCAUAUGCACCAUCUUCUAGUUGCUGGUAAGUAUGCUGACAAAGUGGAUUGACACCAGCUAAUUUUCAAUAAAUCUUCUCCUGUUUA